This is a long non-coding RNA of Biomphalaria glabrata, 825 nucleotides long. RefSeq lists it as uncharacterized. The record is from RefSeq and is a predicted model, not a curated record. NCBI's taxonomy places the organism in Eukaryota, Metazoa, Mollusca, Gastropoda, Planorbidae. The transcript is spliced from 3 exons.
UUGAACAUGGACUCUCGGUUAAUUCCGGGUUAAGAAACACAAAUGCAGCAUUGACAGGAACCAUGGCUAGAACAUCACAAGUCUUCAACAAAACAUCAUCAGCAGUAUGAGUACCAAUUCUACAAGGAAGUCAACGUUAAAACAAUGACAGAAUUCACAGAAGAGCAGUAGUGUGUGUGUGUGUCACACUUGUCUUCCCCACGUCUCCUAGGAUGAUGGUAAAGCUCCCUUGACAGAUGGUAAAGCUCCCUUGACAGAUGGUAAAGCUCCCUUGACAGAUGGUAAAGCUCCCUUGACAGAUGGUGCCAUGGUCAACGUUCAGUUCCACCUGGCGGAGGUGCUGUGGAUUGUUGUCACGUUCAAUCUGUUGUACUGGCCAGUUUUCAUCAUUUUGAUGCGUUUCAUAAACAAACCACACUACGACGAGGUUCUCAAAUCGAAUCUUCGCAGACUUUUUCGAAAGACGAGGGUGAUCCUGUACAAACAGUGUAUCAUCGGCUACAGAAGCCUUGUACUUGCAUACUUCAUGGCCUGUAGAAUGGUCGGCUUGAUGACCUCGCCGAAGAUUGUCUUUCCUGUACUCAACUAUCUGACCUGCUACUUUGUUUUUGGGUUUUGUCUGACCGGACUUGUCACCGCUUUAAACCACAGAUUUAAAAUGUCCCCAUAACCAGCAACGUGUGCUUGCUAAAAUGAAGUUUGUUUUGUAAAAGUCUGGCAACUGGAAAUGUGUUUUUGCUCCUAGCAUCAUAUUUUAUCAAAAAGAGUUUGUGUUUUAAAACUAAACCCUGUGACUAAUAAAAAACAACAGCAAAAGUACCUAAA